GAUGAACGCUGGCGGCGUGCCUAACACAUGCAAGUCGAGCGAGAUGUAUAUGGACGAAACUUCGGUCUAGGAAAUAUAUUGACAGCGGCGGACGGGUGAGUAACGCGUAGGCAACCUGCCCCAAACACAGGGAUAGCCUCGGGAAACCGGGAUUAAAACCUGAUAAUGCCAGAGAGUCACAUGGCUCGCUGGCCAAAGAUUUAUCGGUUUGGGAUGGGCCUGCGUCUGAUUAGUUUGUUGGUGGGGUAACGGCCUACCAAGACUACGAUCAGUAGCCGACCUGAGAGGGUGAUCGGCCACAUUGGAACUGAGACACGGUCCAAACUCCUACGGGAGGCAGCAGUGUGGAAUAUUGCACAAUGGGCGAAAGCCUGAUGCAGCAACGCCGCGUGAGCGAUGAAGGCCUUUGGGUCGUAAAGCUCUGUCCUUGGGGAAGAAAAAAAUGACGGUACCCAAGGAGGAAGCCCCGGCUAACUACGUG
This 481-nucleotide ribosomal RNA is filed under the name uncultured bacterium. RNAcentral's name for it is "bacterial SSU rRNA". It matches the Rfam family "Bacterial small subunit ribosomal RNA", at positions 28 to 507 of the family's 1533-position model. The record is from RNAcentral.